CACCGCCCGUCACACUAUGGGAGCUGGCCAUGCCCGAAGUCGUUACCUUAACCGCAAGGAGGGGGGUGCCGAAGGCAGGGCUAGUGACUGGAGUGAAGUCGUAACAAGGUAGCCGUACUGGAAGGUGCGGCUG
Molecule: non-coding RNA, 133 nt
Filed under: Brassica carinata (Ethiopian mustard)
Lineage: Eukaryota; Viridiplantae; Streptophyta; Magnoliopsida; Brassicales; Brassicaceae
Also listed under: 4 other names
Description: Bacterial small subunit ribosomal RNA
Rfam family: Bacterial small subunit ribosomal RNA
Source: Rfam by way of RNAcentral